UGGGGAAUAUUGGACAAUGGGCGAAAGCCUGAUCCAGCCAUGCCGCGUGUGUGAAGAAGGUCUUCGGAUUGUAAAGCACUUUAAGUUGGGAGGAAGGGCAGUAAGCGAAUACCUUGCUGUUUUGACGUUACCGACAGAAUAAGCACCGGCUAACUCUGUGCCAGCAGCUGCUGUAAUACAGAGGGUGCAAGCGUUACUCGGAAUUACUGGGCGUAAAGCGCGCGUAGGUGGUUCGUUAAGUUGAAUGUGAAAGCCCCGGGCUCAACCUGAGAAAUGCAUCCACAACUGGCGAGCUAGAGUAGAGCAGAGGGUGGUGGAAUUUACUGUGUAGCGGUGAAAUGCGUAGAUAUAGGAAGGAACACCAGUGGCGAAGGCGACCACCUGGGCUAAUACUGACACUGAGGUGCGAAAGCGUGGGGAGCAAACAGG
Molecule: ribosomal RNA, 429 nt
Filed under: Pseudomonadota bacterium
Lineage: Bacteria; Pseudomonadati; Pseudomonadota
Description: Proteobacteria bacterium partial 16S ribosomal RNA
Rfam family: Bacterial small subunit ribosomal RNA
Source: RNAcentral